UCUUAAGCAAGGGUCACUGUUUAUUUGCUCGCUCACCACUCGCUGACGCUCAUGUACAACAGGCACACAUCUGGACCUCCACAGGCGGAUCUCAGCAAAUACAGGUGACUCAACAUGCUCUGGCGUACACAGCACGGAAUGCUCGCCCCGGGUAGGAAGGAGGAAACUCUGACAGGAGUGCUGGGGUGUCACAGCCAGCAGUAGGUGGGUUGCACGUGGCAGGAAGAUGGAGAACACAGAGCUCUUCACUUCGUAACAGAUGGAGCAUCGCCAGUCUGUGGUGCUCUGGGACCAGUACUGCCCCCUUCCUGAAGAAACCUGGGGCAUUUCCAGCUCACUCAGAAGCCACCUGCAUCCUGCAGUCCAGCCUCCUCCUUCUUGUCCACUAGAUGGUACUGAGGCCCACCAAGCCUGAUUUUAAUGCUUCAGAAAUGGAUAGUGUCCGUCCUUUAUUCUUCAUACUUGGAGUUUUUAUGGUUCCAUCAUCUACGUUAACUUGAGACUCCAACCCAACUGGUUAACCCAGCUA
Long non-coding RNA from Chinchilla lanigera (long-tailed chinchilla), 529 nucleotides. RefSeq lists it as uncharacterized. Lineage: Eukaryota; Metazoa; Chordata; Mammalia; Rodentia; Chinchillidae. The record is from RefSeq and is a predicted model, not a curated record. The transcript has 3 exons.